This 459-nucleotide ribosomal RNA is filed under the name uncultured bacterium. RNAcentral's name for it is "partial 16S ribosomal RNA". It matches the Rfam family "Bacterial small subunit ribosomal RNA", at positions 338 to 795 of the family's 1533-position model. The record is from RNAcentral.
CCUACGGGGGGCAGCAGUGAGGAAUAUUGGUCAAUGGCCGAGAGGCUGAACCAGCCAAGUCGCGUGAGGGAAGACGGCCCUACGGGUUGUAAACCUCUUUUGUCGGGGAGCAAAGAGAGUCACGUGUGACUCAUUGAGAGUACCCGAAGAAAAAGCAUCGGCUAACUCCGUGCCAGCAGCCGCGGUAAUCCGGAGGAUGCGAGCGUUAUCCGGAUUUAUUGGGUUUAAAGGGUGCGCAGGCGGAGGUGCAAGUCAGCGGUCAAAUUGCGGGGCUCAACCCCGUACUGCCGUUGAAACUGCAUGCCUUGAGUGCGCGAGAGGUAUGCGGAAUGCGUGGUGUAGCGGUGAAAUGCAUAGAUAUCACGCAGAACUCCGAUUGCGAAGGCAGCAUACCGGCGCGCAACUGACGCUCAUGCACGAAAGCGUGGUUAUCGAACAGGAUUAGAUACCCCGGUAGUC